UACGUAGGUGGCAAGCGUUGUCCGGAAUUAUUGGGCGUAAAGCGCGCGCAGGCGGUUCCUUAAGUCUGAUGUGAAAGCCCACGGCUCAACCGUGGAGGGUCAUUGGAAACUGGGGGACUUGAGUACAGAAGAGGAAAGCGGAAUUCCACGUGUAGCGGUGAAAUGCGUAGAGAUGUGGAGGAACACCAGUGGCGAAGGCGGCUUUCUGGUCUGUAACUGACGCUGAGGCGCGAAAGCGUGGGGAGCAAACAGG
This 253-nucleotide ribosomal RNA is filed under the name uncultured bacterium. RNAcentral's name for it is "partial 16S ribosomal RNA". It matches the Rfam family "Bacterial small subunit ribosomal RNA", at positions 524 to 776 of the family's 1533-position model. The record is from RNAcentral.